GUGAAUCAUCGAAUUUUUGAACGCAAAUUGCACUCUCCUCGGAGAGUAUGCCUGUUUGAGGGUCAGCCUAUAAAAAAUCGACAUCGUUGCUGUUUCGCGGUGGCGUUCGUCGGAAUUUGGGCCUUCUUAAAUCCUUUGGGGUUUUAGGGGAUUUAAAUUUUUUUUUUUGGUUCAUUGACGGUUUCUAAGUUUUAUUCUUUUCCAGGUUUAGGGAUUGAUUUUUUUUAGGCC
RNAcentral lists this unclassified non-coding RNA (231 nucleotides) under Glomus sp. RNAcentral's name for it is "partial contains 5.8S ribosomal RNA and internal transcribed spacer 2". The stretch from base 1 to 65 matches the Rfam family "5.8S ribosomal RNA", at positions 84 to 154 of the family's 154-position model. The record is from RNAcentral. Lineage: Eukaryota; Fungi; Glomeromycota; Glomeromycetes; Glomerales; Glomeraceae.